AGUGAACGCUGGCGGUAGGCCUAACACAUGCAAGUCGAACGGCAGCACAGAGGAGCUUGCUCCUUGGGUGGCGAGUGGCGGACGGGUGAGGAAUACAUCGGAAUCUACUCUGUCGUGGGGGAUAACGUAGGGAAACUUACGCUAAUACCGCACACGACCUACGGGUGAAAGCAGGGGAUCUUCGGACCUUGCGCGAUUGAAUGAGCCGAUGUCGGAUUAGCUAGUUGGCGGGGUAAAGGUCCACCAAGGCGACGAUCCGUAGCUGGUCUGAGAGGAUGAUCAGCCACACUGGAACUGAGACACGGUCCAGACUCCUACGGGAGGCAGCAGUGGGGAAGAUUGGACAUGGGCGCAAGCCUGAUCCAGCCAUACCGCGUGGGUGAAGAAGGCCUUCGGGUUGUAAAGCCCUUUUGUUGGGAAAGAAAUCCAUCUGGUUAAUACCCGGGUGGGAUGACGGUACCCAAAGAAUAAGCACCGGCUAACUUCGUGCCAGCAGCCGCCGUAA
Molecule: ribosomal RNA, 505 nt
Filed under: uncultured bacterium
Lineage: Bacteria
Description: partial 16S ribosomal RNA
Rfam family: Bacterial small subunit ribosomal RNA
Source: RNAcentral